RNAcentral lists this ribosomal RNA (468 nucleotides) under uncultured bacterium. RNAcentral describes it as "partial 16S ribosomal RNA". It matches the Rfam family "Bacterial small subunit ribosomal RNA", at positions 28 to 507 of the family's 1533-position model. The record is from RNAcentral.
GACGAACGCUGGCGGCGUGCUUAACACAUGCAAGUCGAACGGAAAGGCCCUGCUUUUGUGGGGUGCUCGAGUGGCGAACGGGUGAGUAACACGUGAGUAACCUGCCCUUGACUUUGGGAUAACUUCAGGAAACUGGGGCUAAUACCGUAUAGGAGCUCCUGCUGCAUGGUGGGGGUUGGAAAGUUUCGGCGGUUGGGGAUGGACUCGCGGCUUAUCAGCUUGUUGGUGGGGUAGUGGCUUACCAAGGCUUUGACGGGUAGCCGGCCUGAGAGGGUGACCGGCCACAUUGGGACUGAGAUACGGCCCAGACUGCUACGGGAGGCAGCAGUGGGGAAUAUUGCACAAUGGGCGGAAGCCUGAUGCAGCAACGCCGCGUGCGGGAUGACGGCCUUCGGGUUGUAAACCGCUUUCGCCUGUGACGAAGCGUGAGUGACGGUAAUGGGUAAAGAAGCACCGGCUAACUACGUG